RNAcentral lists this ribosomal RNA (492 nucleotides) under uncultured bacterium. RNAcentral describes it as "partial 16S ribosomal RNA". It matches the Rfam family "Bacterial small subunit ribosomal RNA", at positions 29 to 507 of the family's 1533-position model. The record is from RNAcentral.
AGUGAACGCUGGCGGUAGGCCUAACACAUGCAAGUCGAACGGCAGCACAGUAAGAGCUUGCUCUUACGGGUGGCGAGUGGCGGACGGGUGAGGAAUACAUCGGAAUCUACUUUUUCGUGGGGGAUAACGUAGGGAAACUUACGCUAAUACCGCAUACGACCUACGGGUGAAAGCAGGGGAUCUUCGGACCUUGCGCGAUUGAAUGAGCCGAUGUCGGAUUAGCUAGUUGGCGGGGUAAAGGCCCACCAAGGCGACGAUCCGUAGCUGGUCUGAGAGGAUGAUCAGCCACACUGGAACUGAGACACGGUCCAGACUCCUACGGGAGGCAGCAGUGGGGAAUAUUGGACAAUGGGCGCAAGCCUGAUCCAGCCAUACCGCGUGAGUGAAGAAGGCCUUCGGGUUGUAAAGCCCUUUUGUUGGGAAAGAAAAGCAGCAGGUUAAUACCCCGCGGUUCUGACGGUACCCAAAGAAUAAGCACCGGCUAACUUCGUG